RNAcentral lists this long non-coding RNA (710 nucleotides) under Olea europaea subsp. europaea. The record is from RNAcentral. Lineage: Eukaryota; Viridiplantae; Streptophyta; Magnoliopsida; Lamiales; Oleaceae.
CCAAACCCUAAGGUCUUGAAAUCCAAUUCUCCCAAAUCUUUUCCUGACACGAAGUCUAUUAGGUCGUGAAAUCCAUUCAAUUCUUCUCUUACGGGAAUUCUCUAAAUUAGAGCUAUGAUUGUCAACUUCUACGUCAUCAAAAUUUUGAUCAUAUAGAGCUCCGUGGACAACGUCGCACAAACGAUAAGAUUGAAGGCUUGUGUAAUGGAAUCCAUCCCCCAUUGUCAUUCGCUUUGUGCAAAAUGAUAUCUACAUCCACAUUCGCUCACAGAUGAUAAGAUUGAAGGUUCAGUCAUAUUGGUUUAUUUGAUCAAUUAUAAAAUGGAGUCUUAGAAGAAGAUAAUGGGUUAUGGAUAAACAAUCAGACGGUUGAUUAUUGGGAAAAUUUGGUUUAUGCACCUAGUUUGGGUGGGGAUGCUGCUAUGUUGUUGGUAAAGGGAUUGAAUUUGAGGAUGGGUAUGUAGUUUCUUGGUGGUUCGUUUAUGAUAAUAAUAGUGAUGAUGGGAUUGAAGAGGUUAUUGAUCUAGAGGACUACAAUGUCACUAGGCAUGUAUGGCCAUGGAUAAAGACAUAAGAAGCAAGCUUUUCACAUCGUGUUUUGAGAGCAAAGAAUGAAUGCAAUUGGGUUUCAUUCAUGGAUGUCGACGAAUUCUUUUUCUUUCCAAAUUCAACAUCGAGACACAAAAGAUUCAUGAAACUGGGUUACGAGC